AGUUUGAUUAUGGCUCAGGACGAACGCUGGCGGCGUGCCUAAUACAUGCAAGUCGAGCGGACCGAAAGGAGAGCUCGCUCUCCUUUCGGUCAGCGGCGGACGGGUGAGUAACACGUGGGUAACCUGCCUGUAAGACCGGGAUAACUCGCGGAAACGCGAGCUAAUACCGGAUAGGUCCCGUGGCCGCAUGGCGACGGGAGGAAAGAUGGCGCGAGCUAUCGCUUACAGAUGGGCCCGCGGCGCAUUAGCUAGUUGGUGGGGUAACGGCCCACCAAGGCGACGAUGCGUAGCCGACCUGAGAGGGUGAUCGGCCACAUUGGGACUGAGACACGGCCCAAACUCCUACGGGAGGCAGCAGUAGGGAAUCUUCCGCAAUGGGCGAAAGCCUGACGGAGCAACGCCGCGUGAGCGAAGAAGGCCUUCGGGUCGUAAAGCUCUGUUGUCAGGGAAGAACAAGUACCGGAGUAACUGCCGGUACCUUGACGGUACCUGACCAGAAAGCCCCGGCUAACUACGUGCCAGCAGCCGCGGUAAUACGUAGGGGGCGAGCGUUGUCCGGAAUCAUUGGGCGUAAAGCGCGCGCAGGCGGUCCCUUAAGUCUGAUGUGAAAUCUUGCGGCUCAACCGCAAGAGGUCAUUGGAAACUGGGGGACUUGAGUGCAGGAGAGGGAAGCGGAAUUCCAUGUGUAGCGGUGAAAUGCGUAGAGAUAUGGAGGAACACCAGUGGCGAAGGCGGCUUCCUGGCCUGUAACUGACGCUCAGGCGCGAAAGCGUGGGGAGCAAACAGGAUUAGAUACCCUGGUAGUCCACGCCGUAAACGAUGAGUGCUAGGUGUUGGAGGGGUUUACCCUUCAGUGCUGGAGCUAACGCAUUAAGCACUCCGCCUGGGGAGUACGGCCGCAAGGCUGAAACUUAAAUGAAUUGACGG
This 927-nucleotide ribosomal RNA is filed under the name uncultured bacterium. RNAcentral's name for it is "bacterial SSU rRNA". It matches the Rfam family "Bacterial small subunit ribosomal RNA", at positions 10 to 916 of the family's 1533-position model. The record is from RNAcentral.